Molecule: ribosomal RNA, 386 nt
Filed under: uncultured bacterium
Lineage: Bacteria
Description: bacterial SSU rRNA
Rfam family: Bacterial small subunit ribosomal RNA
Source: RNAcentral
AUUGAACGCUGGCGGCAUGCCUUACACAUGCAAGUCGAACGGUAACGCGGGGCAACCUGGCGACGAGUGGCGAACGGGUGAGUAAUAUAUCGGAACGUGCCCAGUAGUGGGGGAUAGCCCGGCGAAAGCCGGAUUAAUACCGCAUACGACCUACGGGUGAAAGGCGGGGGAUCGCAAGACCUCGCGCUAUUGGAGCGGCCGAUAUCAGAUUAGGUAGUUGGUGGGGUAAAGGCCUACCAAGCCUACGAUCUGUAGCUGGUCUGAGAGGACGACCAGCCACACUGGGACUGAGACACGGCCCAGACUCCUACGGGAGGCAGCAGUGGGAAGUUUUGGACAAUGGGCGCAAGCCUGAUCAGCCAUGCCGCGUGCGGGAAGAAGGCCUC